This is a long non-coding RNA of Homo sapiens (human), 1128 nucleotides long. Ensembl annotates it as long intergenic non-protein coding RNA 1036. The record is from Ensembl. NCBI's taxonomy places the organism in Eukaryota, Metazoa, Chordata, Mammalia, Primates, Hominidae.
CUGCCUCAGCCUCCUGAGUAGCCGGACUACAGGCGCCGGCCACCCCACCGCGCUAAUUUUUUUGUAUUUUUUAGUAGAGACGGGGUUUUGUGUCCGGAAUUGGUGGGUUCUUGGUCUCACUGACUUCAAGAAUGAAGCCGCGGACCCUCGCAGUGAGUGCUACAGCUUUUAAGGUGGCGCCUUUGGAGUUUGUUCCUUCUGAUGUUCGGAUGUGUUCGGAGUUUCUUCCUUCUGGUGGGUUCGUGAUCUCGCUGGCUCAGGAGUGAAGCUGCAGACCUUCACGGGGAGUGUUACAGCUCUUAAGGUGGCACAUCUGGAGUUUGUUCCUUCUGACGUUCAGAUGUGUUCGGAGUUUCUUCCUUCUGGUGGGUUCGUGAUCUCGCUGGCUCAGGAGUGAAGCUGCAGACCUUCAGGGGGAGUGUUACAGCUCUUAAGGUGGCGCGUCUGGAGUUUCUUCCUUCUGGUGGGUUCGUGAUCUCGCUGGCUCAGGAGUGAAGCUGCAGACCUUCACGGAUCUCGCUGUGUUGCCCGGGCUGGUCUCAAACUUCUGGACACAAACAAUCCUCCACAUUGGCCUCCCAAAAUGCUGGAAUUACAGGUGUGAGCCACUGGACCAGCAGGACUCUAAAUUUUGGAGAUUGUAAAAUCAGGAAGUAUAUCUAAGUCACCUCCAGUAGCCGUAACUCUACCUUGUCCAGUAAAAGUGCUGCUUGUUGCUGACGUUUCUGCCCAAACAUCAUGAAAUGUGGAGAAGAAAGAACACUCAGAUGUGCCCUGGAGACUUUCCUUUUAUUUUUAAACAGACAUACUUGCAACCAGAGUCAUCAAUUUUGAAGACAGCAACCAAGCCAAGCAAUGUGAGGUUACAGCUAUGAAAUAGAACAGAGAUGUCUAGACUAUAGACACAGCCUGCCGUUUUGUGCUGAUUGGUAAAGUGUUCCAGCCAACUGGAAGCAAAUAUUUCUCAGAAGCAGUUUCCUGCUCUCAUCCUCUCCUCGCCAUGCCCACUGUGCCCAACAUGGCUCCAGCUGGGUCACAGAAGACUUUGUCCUGGAAUACAGCAUUUCCCUAUUUAAAUCUCUAACUUUGUAUGUACUCUUUUCAAUAAAAGCAUAUUUUUCAUUACCA